This is a long non-coding RNA of Peromyscus californicus insignis, 3044 nucleotides long. RefSeq lists it as uncharacterized. The transcript is spliced from 3 exons. Lineage: Eukaryota; Metazoa; Chordata; Mammalia; Rodentia; Cricetidae. The record is from RefSeq and is a predicted model, not a curated record.
GUGAGACCUGAGCAUCAGCAUUUUAAAAGCUGUUCAUCUGGCCACCGGGAAAGAUAUUUCUGCUCUUCAAAGAGAUGAUGACCAGUCUCGUUAAGGAUGGGGGAAGUUCAGAUGUGCUGGUCCUUGAAUCUUCACCUUAUGAGCCAGAAAUCAAGGGGCCAAUGACAGUGUUUCUAGGUUGGUGGGUCAUGGAGUCAGAAGACAAGGGACACUGAGUUGAAGCAGAAGCUGGAAGAUCCUGAAUCAGAGUUGACUUCUGUUAAGAUCUGCAGCUUUCCCUCCUUCCUUCCUCUCACGCCUACCACCUCCCCUCCACCCGCUAUCCUGCUCCCAGUGCUCUGUAGACCUCCAUUCUCACAUGACAUUGUGACCCUGGGGUGCUCCUGUCCCUCUAUGCCAACUUGCUUCCUCCUGGACCCCACCUCUUGUUGCCACCUGGUGUUAAGUUUGGGAGUCUGUGAUUCACCAAGCCCAGGCUAGGAUGCAGUGAGGGAUAGCGGUGACUCAUCGCUAGCCAUUCCAGUAAAAAGACCAGACAGCGCAGGUGCCCAGGCCCUGCCUCCGGGGAAGGCCAGCAGUCAUGAGCCUGGUGAGGUCAGCAUAGCCAGCCCAUUUCCUCGGCUGGCCCUGGGGCUGGUGUGGCCGCCUCCGUGCUGCCUAACCUGGUAUUUGCUGGAGCUCGGAACCUGUGUUUACUUUGAACAGCUUCGCCUGCCAAGUUCACGCUGGGGAAGGGAAUGCAAACACUUUGAAAGAAGGAUCCUCCCCAGGGUCCUGCUCUGCACAACAUUUUCUUUCCAAACAAGGGCCACGGGCCUGGAAAGUCUUUAUCUCUUAAUGGCGGGGUGGAAACCUACCAAUAGACUCCUAUUAAGAGCACACGCUUCCUCUGUGUAGCAUCUACUAUACUCAGGUGUGAGUCUAAACAUUUUACACAGAGUCCCUUGUAAAAACCCCACAGACAACCCUAUGAAUGUGUUGUGAUCUCCAUUUUACUGAUGGGGACUCUGAGGCCCUCAAGGACUGAGUCACUUGCCUAGGGCCAAAAUGGUAGUAAAUAGAGGGUCCGAGUUUGAACUAAGGGAAUAUAGUUUGGGCCUCUUUCUUGUCUUCAGCAUCUCAGAUCCUGGCUAACAACUAGUUCAUCCUUAGCGCCACCACCCCGUCUCCCUUGAAGCCCCUACUGACUCACCAGCUUGCUCUGGCAUUUCUAUGUCCUCCAUCCAUCUCCACCGGGCCUCGGCACAGCCCAGGUUACUAUCAGCUCUCAUUCUUAUGUGAGCUCCUGACCUGCCCAUGCUUCUGCCCUCACCACUCUCCUCCCAGCCCACUUUCCCUCCACAAGUCACAACCACCUUUUACUCUCAGAUGUCACAGCACACAGCCACCCACCACCCUAUGGACUCCCAGGGCUUGCCCACUGCCGUGAUUCCCACCUUGCGGCCAGCAAGGCACCACGUCAUCUGACCCCGGCCCCUUCUCUGUUUCUCCCUUGACUGCUGCACACUUUGCCUGCUCCGGCUCCUAGCAGCUGCCCACUUCCUUGCCAGCACUUGGUCUCUGUACACAUUAUUCCAUCAGAGAGGAACUGGCUCCUUGAGAACUCUAGUUUACCGAUGCAACUCUGAAGCUGGGUGGAGUGGCAUGCAUCUCUAAUCCCAGUGCUCAGGAGCCUGAGGCAGGAGGAUCUUGAGUUGAAGACCAGCUUAGGUUGUACACUAUUUUAGGCUACACAAUAAGACCCUGUCUCAAAAGCAAAACAACCCAGGUCUGCUCUUCACAGGCACCUUCUCUGACCCAUCAUGCUGUUUGAUGCUCUUGUAUCUUCCAUAGCAUCACAGUUUGAAAGUGUGUGUGGCCACACAUACGCACACAUACACAUGCACACACACACACAAACACACACACAAACACACACACACACACACACACACACACAGAGAGAGAGAGAGAGAGACAGAGAGAGAGAGAGAGAGAGAGAGAGAGAGAGAGAGAGAGAGAGAGAGAGAGAGGGAAACUCACUAUGUAAUCAUGCAUGGCUUGAAGCUCACCAUGUAGACUAGGUUGGCCUUGCCUGAAACUCAGGGAGAUCUGCCUGUCUCUGCCUCCCAAGUGCUAGGAUUAAAGGCCUGUGCCACCAUGCCUGGCACAUAUUUCUUUAGUUUCAUUCCUCAUUAUCCAUCUUCCCCCACUGUACUAGGCAUGUCCAUUUAAUUCUCUAAAGCCUAGAGUUAGGAGGGCAGCGUAUAGCUGAGCUAGAAACCCAGCUCGAGGGCUUUCUGUUUCCUCAGCACAAGAAGAGCUCCUCGUUCCCAGAUCUACCACCUUCCUCGCAUUCCAGAUGGACACCCUUGAUUCUAACGUCAGUUCAGAUCUGAUCACUGGUGACUGAUACAUUACCUCUCUAUAGAUUUCCAUGACAGAGUGAGCCCCAAGGAAGAGCCUGACUGCAGAACUGGGAAAAGAUGCACACGGCUGCUGGACAGAGCCUGGUCCAGCACAUGGCAGCCACUGGCUCAAUACAAAACAACCUUAUCUGCAGUGUGGGUGUGGGUGUGUGAGGUUCCAAGAGUCCGACGUCUGUGGUCAGAGGGCUCACCAGCUUGGCCAGGUGGUAUGGCUUUGUAUGGUAUGGGAAUAUGGCCAAUGGUUAGAUGUUUGUUCAGGGAGAGACCCUUCAACAUUCUGACUUCUGUUCCCCAGCUUUGUGCACUUUAAACAAAUAACUCUCUGAAAACUAAUUUUCCUCCUCUAUCAAAUUGAGACAAUAAUGGUCAUUUUACAGCUGUUUGGGUGGCUGAGUGUGCUUAAACGCAGCUAUAUUUCCCUGGGAGGUGAGGGAUGUUAGUAGGGUCGUUCUUGAGGCCCUGUCCAGCUGGCCUGCACCGGCUGCUGUCACUGACUUCCCUGAUGGAGGUGGUCCUCGCUCUAUUCGGAUUCAGGGAUGGAAUGCUUCCAGAGAGCCCAAAGAAGUGGCAGUUGGAGGACAGUAGGUGAUGAGACACAGGGCACACAGAGGCGUGUUUCCAGGUAGAUACAACCUU